This 327-nucleotide ribosomal RNA is filed under the name Triticum aestivum (bread wheat). RNAcentral's name for it is "partial small subunit ribosomal RNA". The record is from RNAcentral. Lineage: Eukaryota; Viridiplantae; Streptophyta; Magnoliopsida; Poales; Poaceae.
AUGGCAGACCAAGCAUGGGUGGCAGAAAAGGCAAUUGGGUAUCUUCAAAGUGAACCAAAAAUUGGUGGCAUGGAGCUCCUAAAAAAGCUACAAGCAGAGUACAAAUGUACUAUUGGGUAUGAUAUUGUUCAAAAGGGAAAAGAAAGGGCCGCAAAAAUGUUAUAUGGAACAUGGGGAAAAAGCUUUCAGAAUUUAUUCAACUUCAAAGCUGAGAUUGAUAAGAGAUCUCCGGGUAGCAUUGUUGAGGUUGAUGUCAAGAGGGGAAAAGGUGGAGUGUAUUUCCGGAGAUUUUUUAUGGCACUUAAGCCAAGCAUUGAUGGCUUUUAG